UGUGUCCAUUCCACGGCUACAUACGCAUCCAAUUCUAAACAUCAGCUGAUCGUCUCCCCCGCUGCGUCUCUUCAUUGCGCGUGCUCUUUAUGAACUUUUCCGCCUGCGUGCGACUGGUCAUGUGCACUUUUUGCAUGCGGUCUCACAUGAUUUACCACGUAUUCCUGGCUGCUGCCUGUCUUGACGUGCUUGUUGGUGAACCACCACCCUU
Non-coding RNA from Caenorhabditis elegans, 211 nucleotides. The record is from Ensembl. Lineage: Eukaryota; Metazoa; Nematoda; Chromadorea; Rhabditida; Rhabditidae.